Molecule: ribosomal RNA, 483 nt
Filed under: uncultured bacterium
Lineage: Bacteria
Description: partial 16S ribosomal RNA
Rfam family: Bacterial small subunit ribosomal RNA
Source: RNAcentral
AUUGAACGCUGGCGGCAGGCCUAACACAUGCAAGUCGAGCGGAUGAAGGGAGCUUGCUCCUGGAUUCAGCGGCGGACGGGUGAGUAAUGCCUAGGAAUCUGCCUGGUAGUGGGGGAUAACGUCCGGAAACGGGCGCUAAUACCGCAUACGUCCUGAGGGAGAAAGUGGGGGAUCUUCGGACCUCACGCUAUCAGAUGAGCCUAGGUCGGAUUAGCUAGUUGGUGGGGUAAAGGCCUACCAAGGCGACGAUCCGUAACUGGUCUGAGAGGAUGAUCAGUCACACUGGAACUGAGACACGGUCCAGACUCCUACGGGAGGCAGCGGUGGGGAAUAUUGGACAAUGGGCGAAAGCCUGAUCCAGCCAUGCCGCGUGUGUGAAGAAGGUCUUCGGAUUGUAAAGCACUUUAAGUUGGGAGGAAGGGCAGUAAGUUAAUACCUUGCUGUUUUGACGUUACCAACAGAAUAAGCACCGGCUAACUUCGU